This 1674-nucleotide long non-coding RNA is filed under the name Sorghum bicolor (sorghum). Its description in RNAcentral is "long non-coding RNA (SBIC_LNC018399)". The record is from RNAcentral. Lineage: Eukaryota; Viridiplantae; Streptophyta; Magnoliopsida; Poales; Poaceae.
AGGAUACUUGGACGCUAUAGCUUCCUUGUGCUCAGCUACUGCAAAAGCUAGCCGUUAGUUGCAUUCUGGAUACUUGUAUUGGCUUCUCUCCAUUGUUUCUGCAACUGCAGGUGAUGGUAGCUAUCGCUAACAACUGGGCAAAGAAAGGAGGAUAUCCUACCCCAAGUGUUGAUUUUUGGUUACUUGUUUGUGUACUGUUGUCAGCAAGGCGGCUCAGUAGAAGUAUAUCGACGAGAGCUAGACUAUACUUUUAUAUGUGUAUUGAUUGCUACUUCAGUCAUACAAUGAUCCUAGGAAUUACAUUACUAAUGAACCACAAGAUCGAAAAGGUUUACCACAGCUUUGACACUAUUGUUGAUGAUCCUCAGAAUCACUUUCCUAUUGAUUUUUUGAAUUCAAUAACUCCAAAUGGACUCCCCCCGCACGAGCUUAAGCUGAAAAUCAAUUGUCGUGUGAUUCUUCUCCGCAAUCUUGAUCCGAACAAUGGCUUGUGCAAUGGAACAAGGCUCAUGGUUAGAGCAUUGCAAGACAAUGCAAUUGAUGCUGAGAUCGUUGCUGGACAACAUGCACGGAAAAGGGUGUUCAUACCAAGGCUUCCAUUGUCUCCCUCAGAUGAUAUUUCUCUUCCUUUCAAGUUCAAGAGAAAACAAUUUCCAGUGCGCUUGAGUUUUGCCAUGACGAUAAAUAAAUCACAGGGACAAACCAUCCCUAAUGUUGGGAUCUACCUUCCGGAACCCGUGUUCUCGCAUGGACAACUCUAUGUUUGUUUAUCAAGGGGGGUGUCAAGAGCAACAACAAGAAUUUUGGCAAAAUCAAAAGAGGAUUUGGAUCCUACAGGGAAGAGCACUAAGAAUAUAGUUUACAAAGACGUCCUAAAUUGGUGACUAACGAUGUGUGUACUCAACCCAUUUUAUCAAUCCUCAUGUAAAAUUAUAUUGUUGGUUGUGUGCUUGAUAUUUUAAUUUUGUAGCAUCAGAGUCCUAUUUGUCUCCUAUAUAAUGUUUGGGUUCCAAACUUUCAGGUUCAUCUGACUGUUCUGGGAGCGUAUGUGAAGAAAUGGAAGAAAUGGCAUGUUCUUGUAGCACAUCUGACAACAGUCAGGUCGACAGUAAUGGAACAUGGCUGAUAGCCAGCGAGGAGGGAGUGUGAACUUCAGAAAUUUGUAUCAGUCUUGGACCUAAGGCCAGGGUAGUACAACCUGAAGGUGUGCUUAGGGAAAGGUUGAAUUCUGUAACUGAAAUCUGUUAUCUGAAUCAAUACACUGACUGAAAAAUUCAGCGUAAAUAAAACGGGUUGCAUUUGCAAAGCAGCAUGAUGUUAUGCUCCAGCCGUUAGUAUUGUAAUUUUGGCCCUCAUGCUAUUGGCAAUACAAAUUCCCAUAUUUUCAUUCUACAAGUUCCCUCAUGCUCGUAUUGUUUUUUUAUUCCCAGGCUUCAAGUUCCCGCUAAUAGAAUGGAAUACAUGCUUAAAAAUAUAAUUAUGUAAAAAUUGAAGUAUGCAAAAAAUCAUUGUUUGGUUAUUUUCAUGUGCCAAGGUAAAGCCGUGGCGUUAGCACGGGCAUUAUACUAGUACUUUUAUAUGUGUAUUGAUUGCUACUUCAGUCAUACAAUGAUCCUAGGAAUUACAUUACUAAUGAACCACAAGAUCGUCAGAGCAGCACAUAAUGAACCAGCC